ACCAUGUCGACAUCUAGAAGAAUAUUGCUAGGCUUCAGAUCACAAUGCACAAUUGUUGUCUCGGUCUGUGUGUGAAGAUAAUCAAGCGCGGUUGCAACAUCGAUCGCUAUGUUUAGUCUCUGCACCAAACUCAAACCAUCAUCUUGAGGUUCUACUUUCUUGAGCCAUCUGUCUAAGCUUCCAUUUGGCAUAUAUUCGUAAACCAAUGCCUUGAAUUCAUUUUGAUUCAGAUCCUCAGAUGAACAUACCGUUAACACUCUGAGAAGAUUUCGAUGCCGAACAUUUCUUAAAAUUUUGCAUUCGGCCAUGAAACUCUUGGAUAUUGUACGAAAUUUCUCGUCCAAUACCUACAAAUAAUUAGUGAUUUCUAUGAUAUUCAAAUCCAAGUAUUCAAUGAAAUCUAAGAGAUGGAAUAUAAGCUACCUUCACAGCAACAUCUAUCGUGCUUCUUGAUUGAUCAUUUAUAGUCAUUAUUCCUUUGUAAACACUGCCAAAUCCCCCAGAUCCGAUCAAAUUUUCAGGAGAGAACUUUCUAGUAGCCUUUUGGAUCUCAGCAUACGAGAUUUGGAUGAACUGAUUUUCCAUCCACGAGUCUCUAUCGGGUAUAGGUGACAUAUCCGUCCUUGUUCUAUCAUUCCUCAUUGGUGACAUCUUGUACUUAUAAACUAGAAAUACACUGAUGAAGGAUGAAACUGCGACUACAACCACUGUGAUAAUGACGGCGAUGUUUCUUUUAGAUAGUUGUCGAUGAUGUUGAUGAUCUGUGAACAAUUUUUCAUUUCCUUCAAUGGAAAAUAAACUGGCAUUGUUGAAAAUACCUUGGGUCGGCACUUUGCCUUCAAGAUCAUUAUUGGAAAGAUUGACAUACUGAAGCAAAGUCAUCUUCUCCAAGUAGGAAGGAAUCUUACCGGAAAGAUGAUUCUCCGAAAGAUCGAGAAAAUGAAGAACUUUAAGAUUCUGAAGCUGAUCUGGUAUUGUUCCGUUAAAAUUAUUUCCUUGAAGUUCGAGUGAUUCAAGCAUCACACAAUUUUCGAUACUCUUUGGAAUUUCACCAUGGAAUCUAUUGUGAGAUGCAUCAAAUCUCAUAACAUUUCUUAAGCUUUCAAACUCAUCUGGAAGAACUCCGAUGAGAUUAUUGUGUGAAAUACGAAGAAAUUUUGCAAUUGUCGGUAUCCUGAAGAGACCUUUGGGUACAACUCCACUUAGAUUAUUGUUUGAAAGAUCCAAGGCUAAUAAUUUUUUCAUGGCGCCUAAAUUUGAAGGUAUGGUUCCUGAUAGCUCAUUCCCACCCAUGUAGAGUUCGAGCAGCUCGGUAAGAUUUUCGAAGGAAUCUGGGAUUGUUCCAGAGAGCUUGUUUUUGGCAAUAGCAAAAAUUUUUAGAUUCUUAAGUUUUCCUAUGCUCUCUGGAAUGGAUCCAGUGAAUUGAUUAAUCUCCAUGUUCAAUGUGGCUAGACUACUCAGCUGUCCUAUCAUUGCUGGAAUUUCUCCCUUGAUAUUGUUAUUCCCCAGAGUCAACGACUCCAACGACAUUGCCGAUAGCUUCGUUAUUGAUUCCGGUAGGAACCCAGUGAAAUUGUUAUUCCACAGAUCAACACUUUUCAGGUAAGAGCAGUUGGUUAAAGAAUCGAUAAAUCUCCAAUCAUCAGUUGAAAAUAGAUUGCUGUCCAAAAGCAACUUAGAGAGAUUAGGAAGACGACUUCCAAGAUUUGAUGGAAUUGAACCAGUGAACAUAUUGCCGCUGAGCUCUAUAUCCUCCAAUUUUGACAUAUAAGAUAGAGAUAUUGGAAUUUCUCCGUUGAACUUGUUGAGGUAUAAUAAAAGAUGACGAAGUUGAGGAAGGUUCUGCCCGAAAUCAGGAGGAAGUGUUCCAGUGAGAUGAUUACCUCCGACACCAAACAUGUAAAGAGACGAGAAGUUGAAAAGAGAUAGAGGAAUUUGACCAGAUAAACGAUUAGAAAGAAGAUCGAGAAUUUCUAGAUUGGUGCAGUAACUUAUCUGGGAUGGAAUGUGGCCAACCAGGUUGUUUUGUGAGAGGUAAAGUUUGCGAAGAGUGGUAAUGUUGCCGAUGGAUGGUGGAAUUUCUCCGGUGAGGUUGGUUGUUUCUAAAUCCAAGUAUUUCAGAUUUUGGAGCGAGCCCAAUUCUGAUGGGAUGCUGCUGGUUAAGUUAUUGUUCCAAAGAAUCAGCGACUGCAAUUUGGUUCCCCCAGUGAAGUUUCUGGGAAUCUCACCAUGGAUCUUGUUGUGACUAAGUGUAAGGAGUUGGAGUUCCGGCAAGUUCGUAAAGAGAGCCUCAGGGAUUGUUCCUUGGAGGAAAUUUGAGGUGAGAUUUAUGGUUCUGAGACGACGUAGGUUGGCAAUCUCCGAGGGAAUAUGACCGUGUAGAUUGUUGUGUCCAAGGUUUAUCUCACGAAGGAAUGAGAGGUUGGAGAUACAAGGUGAGAUUUUACCGGUGAGGCCGAAUGAUGGCAGCACUAAAGAUGUCACCCGGUUCGGAUGGAGAGGAGCAUCACAGUUGACGCCGAACCAGUGGCAGGUUUCAGUGGAUUCGUUCCAUGAAGUGAAGAUGUAAGCUUUGUCUUUGGCAGUGGUGAUGUAGGAUUUGAAUGAAAGAAGCCCAGCACGGUCGACACCAUUUGUUUUUCCUGUCACAAUAUCUCCUAGGAUUAUAAGAAGCUGAAUAGAUAAUAAGAACCUCAUUCGUUCGAGCUUGCAGUGAGUGAUUUGGAGAGUAAGUUUGUAUUUCCGAUGUGUGAUGGACAUGUUUUUAAACUAGAUUCCCUUCAGAACUUCAGGAUUCAACAUUUUGAAAAAUAUUGAUGUACUACAUCCGUGAUGUGAUGUGAUGUGGUGUUAGUGGUGAUGCACUAAAAAAUCACAAGUGGUGACGUGGAAAAGAGGAUAACUUAGUCAACAAAGAAACAAGUGUUUCGUCCGUGAGUAUCAUUGUCGGUUACACAUUGCUUUGUUAAAUUCCAACAAUAGCACCACUUACGCGUUAUGAGUUAAAAUCUACAACACAAUAGAACUCAUACGUUAGUCGUUACAGACUUACUGUAGUUAAAUAAGCAAAAAGUAAUUAAAAUAAAAUGUUAAAAAAUAUGAGUUAGAAAUUAGAAUGUACGUAUGGAAUUAUGAAUGUAUGAUUAGAUAAGUUUACACGAUUCGAUUAGUCCAAUCGGUCAUAUACUCACACAAGUCGGUCAAAAGUCGGUCAAUUAAUUCUCUGUUUUUUAUUAGUAUAAAGAAGUAUUUAAUAACUAAUAGUCUAGUUAUGGUGAAAAUUAGGAUUUUAAGGUGAACAAAAUUGGAAAUGAAAAUUACAUUUAGUUGAAUUGGUUUGGAACUUUAGAUUAAUAUCUUAUUAAUUACAAUUUGGAAAAUUACAUUACACGUUUUCUUCAAUUUCGACAUUGUCUUAUUAAUAUCUCUUUAUUAAUAUAGCAUUCCUGAUAUCUUCUAACUGCUUGAUGGCAUCUUUCAAUAGCAUUCUUUCAUUUUGUGAAUCCAUGGAGCAAUUCAGACCAACCCUUAUAAUUGAUACCAAGAUAUCGUAGAUUCUUCUUUUUCCCAAUCCAUCUUCUUCUUCUUGUCGUUGCAAUAGAUAUGGAUCUGCUACCUUUAAGAUUCCGUAAGGAAAAUGUUUCUCUACGUAUUGAUGGAGAGUCGUUCCUUCACCGAAAUCUUUGCUAGUCGGACUUUUACAUGUGAAAAUCUCUAACACAAGUAUUCCGUAGCUGUAAACAUCCCAUAGCGUGGACAAUCUUCUACCCAUUCCGCAUUCUGCAUCACAGUUCAUUUAGAAUUGUUUAGCGAUUAAUCUCUGCCGGAUUGACUAUAUUUAGCACAGGAUGAUUACCCGGGGCGAUGUAUCCAAUGGAGCCUUGGAUGGCAGUGGUUAACGUUUGAUCUUGAUCCGUCGAGAGGAAUUUUGCUAUUCCAAAGUCACUGACACGAGCAACCAUGUCGACAUCUAGAAGAAUAUUGCUAGGCUUCAGAUCACAAUGCACAAUUGUUGUCUCGGUCUGUGUGUGAAGAUAAUCAAGCACGGUUGCAACAUCAAUCGCUAUGUUUAGUCUCUGCACCAAACUCAACCCAUCAUCUUGAGGUUCUUCCUCUUUCUUGAGCCAUCUGUCUAAGCUUCCAUUUGGCAUAUAUUCGUAAACCAAUGCCUUGAAUUCAUUUUGAUUUGGAUCCUCAGAUGAACAUACCGUUAACACUCUGAGAAGAUUUCGAUGGCGGACAUUUCUUAAAAUU
This 4254-nucleotide long non-coding RNA is filed under the name Zostera marina. RNAcentral describes it as "long non-coding RNA (ZMAR_LNC001128)". The record is from RNAcentral. Lineage: Eukaryota; Viridiplantae; Streptophyta; Magnoliopsida; Alismatales; Zosteraceae.